RNAcentral lists this ribosomal RNA (497 nucleotides) under uncultured bacterium. RNAcentral's name for it is "partial 16S ribosomal RNA". It matches the Rfam family "Bacterial small subunit ribosomal RNA", at positions 28 to 507 of the family's 1533-position model. The record is from RNAcentral.
GAUGAACGCUGGCGGCGUGCCUAAUACAUGCAAGUCGAGCGAACAGACGAGGAGCUUGCUCCUUCGACGUUAGCGGCGGACGGGUGAGUAACACGUAGGUAACCUACCUAUAAGACUGGGAUAACUUCGGGAAACCGGAGCUAAUACCGGAUAAUAUUUCGAACCGCAUGGUUCGAUAGUGAAAGAUGGCUUUGCUAUCACUUAUAGAUGGACCUGCGCCGUAUUAGCUAGUUGGUAAGGUAACGGCUUACCAAGGCAACGAUACGUAGCCGACCUGAGAGGGUGAUCGGCCAAACUGGAACUGAGACAAGGUCCAGAAUCCUACGGGAGGCAGCAGUAGGGAAUCUUCCGCAAUGGGCGAAAGCCUGACGGAGCAACGCCGCGUGAGUGAUGAAGGUCUUCGGAUCGUAAAACUCUGUUAUUAGGGAAGAACAAACGUGUAAGUAACUGUGCACGUCUUGACGGUACCUAAUCAGAAAGCCACGGCUAACUACGUG